UUUUAGUUUGAUUUUACUAUAUAAAUUUUCCUUCUUGGCGUGUCAGUAAAUAAGAAGGAGCAUUUUUAGUUAGCACAUCAAGCAUUCUUGAAGGCAUAGAGAAUGGAAUUCUAAUGGGGAAAUAAUCCUGUCAUCUUACGUAAAUAUAGUAUUAUGUAAAUAUAAUACCCAGUUCUGUGUAUUCCCUUUAUUCCCAUAGAAGGAAUACUGUAUUUUUAUGUAAUUUUUUGUUUUGUAAUGUGAUUUCUUGUAAUGUUUAAUAUUUCAUCCCUAAAAGGAAAGACUUCCUAGAUGCCAUUUUUGUGAAAAGACAUUGUGUAGUGUAAGAACUGAAAAAUUAGUAAUUUGUCUCUGUAAAUGUCACAGGCUGCAAAACGGGAACUUGAAAGGCAACGACAACUUGAGUGGGAACGGAAUCGAAGGCAAGAACUACUAAAUCAAAGAAACAAAGAACAAGAGGACAUAGUUGUACUGAAAGCAAAGAAAAAGACUUUGGAAUUUGAAUUAGAAGCUCUAAAUGAUAAAAAGCAUCAACUAGAAGGGAAACUUCAAGAUAUCAGAUGUCGAUUGACCACCCAAAGGCAAGAAAUUGAGAGCACAAACAAAUCUAGAGAGUUGAGAAUUGCCG
RNAcentral lists this small RNA (628 nucleotides) under Pan troglodytes (chimpanzee). RNAcentral describes it as "retained intron". The record is from RNAcentral. Lineage: Eukaryota; Metazoa; Chordata; Mammalia; Primates; Hominidae.